Molecule: ribosomal RNA, 447 nt
Filed under: uncultured bacterium
Lineage: Bacteria
Description: bacterial SSU rRNA
Rfam family: Bacterial small subunit ribosomal RNA
Source: RNAcentral
ACCAGACUCCUACGGGAGGCAGCAGUGGGGGAUAUUGCACAAUGGGGGGAACCCUGAUGCAGCGACGCCGCGUGGGUGAAGAAGUAUUUCGGUAUGUAAAGCCCUAUCGGCAGGGAAGAAAUUGGACGGUACCUGACUAAGAAGCCCCGGCUAACUACGUGCCAGCAGCCGCGGUAAUACGUAGGGGGCAAGCGUUAUCCGGAUUUACUGGGUGUAAAGGGAGCGUAGACGGCCAUGCAAGCCUGGAGUGAAAGCCCGGGGCCCAACCCCGGGACUGCUCUGGGAACUGUGCGGCUGGAGUGCGGGAGGGGCAGGCGGAAUUCCUGGUGUAGCGGUGAAAUGCGUAGAUAUCAGGAGGAACACCGGCGGCGAAGGCGGCCUGCUGGACCGCGACUGACGUUGAGGCUCGAAAGCGUGGGGAGCAAACAGGAUUAGAUACCCGCGUAC